Molecule: unclassified non-coding RNA, 206 nt
Filed under: Funneliformis mosseae
Lineage: Eukaryota; Fungi; Glomeromycota; Glomeromycetes; Glomerales; Glomeraceae
Description: partial contains 5.8S ribosomal RNA and internal transcribed spacer 2
Rfam family: 5.8S ribosomal RNA (bases 1-71)
Source: RNAcentral
GUGAAUCAUCGAAUCUUUGAACGCAAAUUGCACUCCCUGGUAUUCCGGGGAGCAUGCCUGUUUGAGGGUCGUUAGAAUAAAAAAUCGAGGCGUCGCUCUUUUUUUUAAGGGUGAUCGCGUCGCACAUGAGCAGUCUUUCAAAUGUUAAUUUAUGUCAAAGUGGCUUUAAAUUCAUCCAUCCGGUACGAUUAAAGAGUAUUCAAGCA